This 379-nucleotide ribosomal RNA is filed under the name uncultured cyanobacterium. RNAcentral's name for it is "bacterial SSU rRNA". It matches the Rfam family "Bacterial small subunit ribosomal RNA", at positions 376 to 770 of the family's 1533-position model. Lineage: Bacteria; Bacillati; Cyanobacteriota. The record is from RNAcentral.
CGCAAGCCUGACGGAGCAACGCCGCGUGAGGGAGGAAGGCCUGUGGGUUGUAAACCUCUUUUCUCAGGGAAGAAGCUCUGACGGUACCUGAGGAGUCAGCAUCGGCUAACUCCGUGCCAGCAGCCGCGGUAAGACGGAGGAUGCAAGCGUUAUCCGGAAUUAUUGGGCGUAAAGCGUCCGCAGGCGGCUAAUUAAGUCUGCUGUCAAAGCCCACAGCUCAACUGUGGAUCGGCGGUGGAAACUGGUUAGCUUGAGUGCGGUAGGGGUAGAGGGAAUUCCUGGUGUAGCGGUGAAAUGCGUAGAGAUCGGGAAGAACAUCGGUGGCGAAAGCGCUCUACUGGACGGCAACUGACACUCAGGGACGAAAGCUAGGGGAGCG